Molecule: ribosomal RNA, 759 nt
Filed under: Wagneriana neglecta
Lineage: Eukaryota; Metazoa; Arthropoda; Arachnida; Araneae; Araneidae
Description: SSU rRNA
Rfam family: Eukaryotic small subunit ribosomal RNA
Source: RNAcentral
CCGCCAAGUUUACUUUGAAAAAAUUAGAGUGCUCAAAGCAGGCGCGACGCCUGAAUAAUUGUGCAUGGAAUAAUGGAAUAGGACCUCGGUUCUAUUUUGUUGGUUUUCGGAACACGAGGUAAUGAUUAAGAGGGACAGACGGGGGCAUUCGUAUUGCGACGCUAGAGGUGAAAUUCUUGGACCGUCGCAAGACGAACUACUGCGAAAGCAUUUGCCAAGAAUGUUUCCAUUAAUCAAGAACGAAAGUUAGAGGUUCGAAGGCGAUCAGAUACCGCCCUAGUUCUAACCAUAAACGAUGCCAGCCAGCAAUCCGCCUGUGUUCCUCAAAUGACACGGCGGGCGGCUUCCGGGAAACCAAAGCUUUUGGGUUCCGGGGGAAGUAUGGUUGCAAAGCUGAAACUUAAAGGAAUUGACGGAAGGGCACCACCAGAAAUGGAGCCUGCGGCUUAAUUUGACUCAACACGGGGAAACUUACCCGGCCCGGACACAGGAAGGAUUGACAGAUUAAGAGCUCUUUCUUGAUUCUGUGGGUGGUGGUGCAUGGCCGUUCUUAGUUGGUGGGGCGACUUGUCUGGUUAAUUCCGAUAACGAACGAGACUCUAGCCUACUAAAUAGACGUUCCGAUCCUCUUUCGUCGGACGUUCUUCUUAGAGGGACAAGCGGCGUUUAGCCGCACGAGACAGAGCAAUAACAGGUCUGGGAUGCCCUUAGAUGUCCGGGGCCGCACGCGCGCUACAUUGAAGGAAUCAGCGUGUGCUU